CCGCGACCGGCGCCUCCCCUGGGGGAAAAGGCGCGCCACCGUUCUUUUGCUUUGUCUUUUUUUUCCCGCCCUCUUUUGUCGCCGAGGCGAGUUCCUUUUUUGCGGUCGUCCGCCGUCUCUGUCGUCGUCCGCCGUUGUGGCCAUCAUCGUCGUCGUCGUCAUCGCUGUCGGAUUGUCUGCGGUCGGACCUUGCAGGGGUGUCUUUUUGUCUCGUUGUCGUUGUCGUCGAUGUCGUUGUCAAUCUGGUCCUCGUCCUCGACGGUCCGGUGUCUCGUCAUCAAAGGCGACGGCGACACCGGACCGGCGACACAGAGAGGGAAAAAGAGAGAGAGAGAGAGAGAGAGAG
This 346-nucleotide long non-coding RNA is filed under the name Pandoravirus salinus. Its description in RNAcentral is "putative ncRNA". The record is from RNAcentral.